This 649-nucleotide long non-coding RNA is filed under the name Sus scrofa (pig). Its description in RNAcentral is "lncRNA (ENSSSCG00070006714.1)". Lineage: Eukaryota; Metazoa; Chordata; Mammalia; Artiodactyla; Suidae. The record is from RNAcentral.
UCCUGCCCUUUGACCCACCUGCUCCUUUCACACGUGCAGUAAAAUUCCAGAACAUGACCUGAGUGGGCAUCUGAGACCAGGGAAUCUAGGAGAGCGUUGCAGUGAAUGAACUUUGGACCAAACUUAUGACGACUCAGGGAGAGACAAAGAAUACAGGAUGAACCUUGCUUCAGACAAACCCAAUUGAGAAGGCAGAUGGUUUCCAUGAGAGUGUCAGAAGGACGACCGGAAACUCUGUGGGGCCAGGGAGAAAGAAGUUCUCGGUGGAAGGGAUGGAAAGAAGCAAAAGGAGGUGUGAAGUAGUCUAGCCUAGUAAGUAAUUUGAAAUCCCGUAAUUCCAGAUAGAAACUGGGUGAGCCUGGAUCUAACAUGGGUGCCACACACCAAGCCAUUGAAAUUCUCCCUUCAGGUAUCUGUUACUUCCAGAACGAAGAAGAGUUAUUGCCCAACCCCAAGAAACCACAGCAGAAAAGAUUCCUUUUCCACCUGAUGAGAAAAACCUACAACAGCCAAUCAAGUUGAAGCCCCAAAGGAACACUGGAGGGACCCUCUCCUGAGAAUCAGCAUCUCAACCAUCACCUCCUCCCCACCGUUUUUACUCCAAAAGACUGAUCUCAUGAGAGAAAUCGCAGUCAUCGGCCUCCUCCCA